UUGUCUGGGUGACCAAAGAUGAACUGUUGGAAUACUUUCCCGAGCAAGCUGAAUUCCUGAACAAGAUGAUCAUCAGCUGACGUUAGUUUCUGCUCAAACUUCAGGCUUCGUAGGAUAGCGGAAAUAGUUUUGAUCUGAAAAAUCCAUUUCUUCCCGCAAAUGCAAUGGGCUUGGACUGCUGGAGACUGAUUUUUAUGUCUCGACAGUCUGACUAGCGUGCCAUUCAUCAAGUCCUGUAGAAUUUUGAACAUAGGAUACCUAAAUUAUGAUAGCCUUCUGCCUCAGC
This 286-nucleotide unclassified non-coding RNA is filed under the name Hevea brasiliensis (rubber tree). The record is from RNAcentral. Lineage: Eukaryota; Viridiplantae; Streptophyta; Magnoliopsida; Malpighiales; Euphorbiaceae.